CGCUUCUGAUAAGAAGCCAAGCUCGCUCCCAUCCUCUCAGGCCACGGAUCCCUGUGAUGAAUUCUGAGUUGCGUAAAGUAGUGGGCAGCUGACACGGAUGGGAGUCCAGCUGAGGUCCCAUUCCAAAGCGCUGCCUGGCAUCCAUCAGUGAAGGACACCCAGCGCCACUGGGAGGCGGGGAGCACGUGACGUGGUUUUGCGGGGAUGGCAGUUGUCAGCACCAGGCCAAGGGCUGAUCCUGCCCUGAGGGGUGGCACUUACCUGACAUCAGGGUUGCGAAGAGCAAGGCGCAUGGUGCACAGGCCGGUCCCUCCGAUUCCAAUCAAGACGAACAGAGGAAUCAGCUGUGAUAAACCGAACGUUUUGAGAUCAAAAGCCGAAGUUGAAAACCGGAAUAAGUCGCCUAAGACAGUGUGCGUGGGAGAGGUCAACUACGAAUGACACCAGAUUCAGGUGGAAGGCCAUGUUGAUCUGUCAUAGUCAUAAUAAAUAACAAGAUGAAAAGAACUUUUUAAAUAAUUCCAGUGGCACCUUAAAGAUCAACUCAAUAUAAGUUUUCAAGGUAUGAGCUUUUGUGUGUAAUACACACUUUGUCAGAUACUUCAGCCUUAGAACUCUUGAAGACUGUUACGGCAGUUGGUUCCACAGGGAAGGGCAAGGGAUUCUUAAAGGGAUAGAUGACCAAAAUUAGCUUUAGGAUGUAUAAUGGGACAUGAAUCCAAUAUCUCCAUUCAGACCAGGUCUCUCCAUAGUUUUUAGUUUGGUAAUGAGUUGUAAUUCAGCAACUUCUCUUUCAAGUGUAUUUCUAAAAUUCUUCUGCAAUAAGACAGCUACUUUAAGAUCUUGUAUAGAAUGCAAUUAGAAGCUAAUUUUGGUCAUCUAUCCCUUUAAGAAUCCCUGGCCCUUCCCUGUGCCUCCCCAGCUGCUGCCAUUGUCUGUGGCUUGACUGUGAUGCCACAAACACAUUUGGCAGCUGAGCGGGUAUAAAUGUGGGCCAAGGCGCAAGCCUCGGCAGUUGCCCUCCCCAGAGAGAAAUGGGCAGCUCGGUGGCACUCAGCCCUGGUGGUCUCCUGCCCCGUGGCAGCAAGCUGAAAAGCAGAAGGAGGCAAUCGCCUGGUGCUGGGAUGCUGUGGAGCAAGGAGAACAAAGUUGACUUGCUGGUGGGAUCGCUACCUGAAGGCGACGGAUACUCAGCUCUGAAGCUGGUUGAUAUCUGGCAAUGGACCUGGCGAGGCUGCAGCUGGUGGGUGGUUGUUGGAAGAGUUUGCGUUCAGGCUAGUGGAUGCCGUGAGGCUAUGCUGGCUGAGAUGGAUGCAAAGUGGUUUGGAAGCCUUGUUUGUUAACAGGCAGCCAAACAGAGGAGGAGUCUGGGGGGACGCUGUUGGAUGGGGGCCAUCCCACUCACCUGUUUGCCUUUGCCUUACAGGGAUGUCCGGAGCCGGUGAGGUUUUCCCCAAGUCCACAGUCAUGAAGAGAACCGCAGGACGUCCCUAUUUACAUUGGAGAAAUGAAUGCGAAAUACUGGCAGCGAACAAUGGACAAGGCCGUGGCCGUACCUGAGAGAAGGAGCUUUGAAGGAAGACUGCAGGCGGACAUCUGCUGCAUUGCAAGUGAUGGGGCAGUGGGGAGAGAGAAGAAAAUGAGGGAGGAAACAUUAGGGCACAUUAGGCGCACCGUCCACUGGAAGUGCUAUGAAGACGCUUUGAACAGGGAUGGCUUCCCCUCAGGGAUUCUGGGAACUGUAGGUGGUUAAGGGGACAGAGAGUUGUUAGGCGGGUUAGGUUUAGGUUUAGGCUUAGGGUUAGGGUUAGGGUUAGGAUUAGUCUUAGGUUUAGGGUAGGGGUAGGGGUAGGGAUAGGGUUAGGAGUAGGGUAGGGGUAGGGGUAGGGUUGAGUUGGGGUAGUGUUAGGGUUAGGGUUCCCUUCUUGUCAGGGAACUUUGGGAAUUGUAGUUCUAGUUAAGGGUUAGGGUUAGAGUUAGCGUCAGGGGUAGGGUUCCCUUCUUGUCAGGGAACUCUGGGAAUUUUAGCUCUGGUUAGGGAGUAGGGUUGGGGUUCCCUUCUUACCAGGGAACUCUGGGAAUUGUUGCUCUAGUUAAAGGUUAAGGGUUAGCGUUAGGGUUAGAGUUAGGGUUAGGGUUAGCGUUAGCGUCAGGGGUAGGGGUAGGGGUAGAGUUCCCUUUUUGCCAGGGAACUCUGGGAUUGUAGCUCUGGGAGGGGAACAGGGGGUCUCCUAACAACUCUCUGCACCCUUUUCAGACUAUAGCUCCCAGAUUCUUUGGGGGAAGAAGCCAUGAGUGUUUAAAGCGGCUUCAUAGCACAUGAAAUGGUGUACAUGUGGCCCUGGCCUCCCUCACCCCACUGCCCCUUAUUAUUGAGGAAUUGAAAAGAUUUCCCCAUGCAAAUCUCUCAGAAACAAUGUAUUUCAUCUGGAAAACUAUUUAAUAAAGAUUACUUUUUAUUAAUAAAAUGAA
Podarcis lilfordi (Lilford's wall lizard) is the source of this 2472-nucleotide non-coding RNA. The record is from the annotation of a GenBank genome assembly. Lineage: Eukaryota; Metazoa; Chordata; Lepidosauria; Squamata; Lacertidae.